AUUGAACGCUGGCGGCAUGCUUUACACAUGCAAGUCGGACGGCAGCACAGAGAAGCUUGCUUCUUGGGUGGCGAGUGGCGAACGGGUGAGUAACAUAUCGGAACGUACCGAGUAAUGGGGGAUAACUAAUCGAAAGAUUAGCUAAUACCGCAUAUUCUCUGAGGAGGAAAGCAGGGGACCUUCGGGCCUUGCGUUAUUUGAGCGGCCGAUAUCUGAUUAGCUAGUUGGUGGGGUAAAGGCCUACCAAGGCGACGAUCAGUAGCGGGUUGAGAGGAUGAUCCGCCACACUGGGACUGAGACACGGCCCAGACUCCUACGGGAGGCAGCAGUGGUGAAUUUUGGACAAUGGGCGCAAGCCUGAUCCAGCCAUGCCGCGUGUCUGAAGAAGGCCUUCGGGUUGUAAAGGACUUUUGUCAGGGAAGAAAAGGACAGGGUUAAUACCCCUGUCUGAUGACGGACCUGAAGAAAAGCCCGCA
RNAcentral lists this ribosomal RNA (476 nucleotides) under Neisseria subflava. RNAcentral describes it as "bacterial SSU rRNA". It matches the Rfam family "Bacterial small subunit ribosomal RNA", at positions 30 to 495 of the family's 1533-position model. The record is from RNAcentral. Lineage: Bacteria; Pseudomonadati; Pseudomonadota; Betaproteobacteria; Neisseriales; Neisseriaceae.